Molecule: long non-coding RNA, 432 nt
Filed under: Ictidomys tridecemlineatus (thirteen-lined ground squirrel)
Lineage: Eukaryota; Metazoa; Chordata; Mammalia; Rodentia; Sciuridae
Description: lncRNA (ENSSTOG00000030080.1)
Source: RNAcentral
GGAGACUCUGCCCCGAGCCGGCCCGGCCGGGUCGCGGUGGCCAACACCGAACGAGGGGCUGCCGCCUGCUGGUGGUGCCCGGCUUCGGGGAAGAGGGGACAGGACUCCCCAGACCGCACCCACGGUUCCAGAGCCCCAGCCAGAGCUGGAGAGCGUUCGGAAGGAAAAGGAACGGGGCGUGGGAGUGGGAAUGUGGAAAAAGGAGUGGGGUCAACAGUUUCGGGCCGCCCACCAGCGACAGAGUCGGGACUGGGGAGGUAAAAAGUACCACCUGCAGUGGGGGGUUCCAGUAGCACCCCGAUCUGAGCCACCUUCUCUCCGAUGAAAGCAACCAUGGCAGGAGUUUCAGUUAACCAUUCACAUAGAAAACCCCCAAACUAUGCAUACAAAGAUACAGCUUUAUAGCAAGAAUGUGACUCCCAUACUAAUAAA